Long non-coding RNA from Patella vulgata (common limpet), 560 nucleotides. RefSeq lists it as uncharacterized. The transcript is spliced from 3 exons. The record is from RefSeq and is a predicted model, not a curated record. Lineage: Eukaryota; Metazoa; Mollusca; Gastropoda; Patellidae.
UAACCGUUAUGGUUAUAAUCCAAAUCAAGAUUAUUUGACCCAAGGUCAGUGGUAUAACAACCAGCCUUAUGACACACAAAGUCAAUUCAUUCGAACCCGAGGAGAUUUCUUCCAAAACCAGGGUCGAUUCAACAAUGGUUUAAAUGGUCAGGAUCAACUUUGGAGAGGUCAUCAUCAGAUUCUUGAUGUCCCAGUUGGAAUUUCGACUAGACCUAGAAGAUAUAAAAGAUCAUUAUACAGACCUACCAGUAAUAACAGAUGGGGUAACCAAGAAAACAAUGGUGGGCAGUGGUUUAAUCAAGGACAGACAACCUCUGAUUUAUUGGGAAACCAAGGUCAACAAUGGGGCACAGGAGGUCAACAAUGGGCAAAUCAAGACCAGAUAAUUGGAAAUCAAGGUCAACAAUGGGGCACUAGAGGUCAGCAAUGGAGAAAUCAAGACCAGGUACUUGGAAACCAAGGUCAACAAUGGGGAAAUCAAGAGCAGUUAUUUGGAAAUCAAGGACAACGUCUCUGGCAACACGACGGUCUUCUCAGAAAUCAAGGUCAAUUUGGGAGAA